Molecule: non-coding RNA, 210 nt
Organism: Cyanistes caeruleus (blue tit)
Lineage: Eukaryota; Metazoa; Chordata; Aves; Passeriformes; Paridae
Source: RefSeq, a predicted model, not a curated record
UGUAGGAUGGCAGCCACAGAGCCAGAACAUCCUUGCUGUGACCAGCCCAUGGUACUCAGAUGGUAACAGGCUGCUAGACCAUAAUCUCCAGUUUCUACAAGGACUCCAUUUACUCUGUCUUCACAGAUGGUAGAAACAGACAAGACUACCAUCACUCUAGGAGGAAGGCAAGCUUUGCAUCACGUGGACCAGGAGUCAGUGAAAGGUUAA